Small nuclear RNA from Diospyros lotus (date-plum), 197 nucleotides. RefSeq annotates it as U2 spliceosomal RNA. The transcript has a single exon. NCBI's taxonomy places the organism in Eukaryota, Viridiplantae, Streptophyta, Magnoliopsida, Ericales, Ebenaceae. The record is from RefSeq and is a predicted model, not a curated record.
GGCCAUUCGCCAAUAGGAGAACAGAAGAUCAAGUGUAGUAUCUGUUCUUUAUCAGUUUAAUAUCUGAUACCUGGGGCAUUGGCCUGCGUGGUAUUAAAUUAAUAUUUCAAGGGAAGGUCAAGCCCAUGGCAGCUUGCUGCCCGGGUCUCCAGCGCCGCCUUGUCUUGCAAAACCGCCUGGGCCUGGCACGCCCCUCC